UGCAGUUAAAAAGCUCGUAGUCGGAUGUCGGGCUCGGGCAAGCUGUCGGCCUUUGGUCGGACGGCAGGCUCGGGUCUUUCUGCCUGAGGAACCCGGUUGCUUUAACGAGCUGCCGGUGGACGCAGGUCGUUUACUUUGAAAAAAUUAGAGUGUUCAAAGCAGGCUAGCGCUUGAAUACAUUAGCAUGGAAUAAUGGAAUAGGACUUUGGUGCUAUUUUGUUGGUUUAUGGGACCGAAGUAAUGAUUAACAGGGACAGUUGGGGCCGUUUAUAUUUCGUUGUCAGAGGUGAAAUUCUUGGAUUUACGAAAGAUAAACUUCUGCGAAAGCAUUCGGCAAGGAUGUUUUCAUUGAUCAAGAACGAAAGUUAGGGGAUCGAAGACGAUCAGAUACCGUCGUAGUCUUAACCAUAAACUAUGCCGACUAGGGAUCAGUGGAUGUCAAUUUGCGACUCCAUUGGCACCUUGUGAGAAAUCAAAGUUUUUGGGUUCCGGGGGGAGUAUGGUCGCAAGGCUGAAACUUAAAGGAAUUGACGGAAGGGCACCACCAGGAGUGGAGCCUGCGGCUUAAUUUGACUCAACACGGGGAAAUCUCACCAAGCCCCGGACACUGGGAAGGAUUGACAGAUUGAGAGCUCUUUCUCGAUUCGGUGGGUGGUGGUGCAUGGCCGUUCCUAGUUGGGUGGAGU
RNAcentral lists this ribosomal RNA (686 nucleotides) under uncultured marine eukaryote. RNAcentral describes it as "SSU rRNA". It matches the Rfam family "Eukaryotic small subunit ribosomal RNA", at positions 614 to 1307 of the family's 1831-position model. The record is from RNAcentral.